GACAGUCCCCUUUCUGGCCUCGGUUUCCCUGUCUGUAAAUUGGGGAUAAUAAGCUCAAGAGCUGUCCCUGCCAGAACCCAGUGGACAGAAAUCCAGCAGCUGCUAUGGGAAGCGACCCGCCCAGCCUGCCCCGCCCUGCCUGGGGAAGCAGGCCUUCUGCUUGAGGGGGACUGGGCGCAUGCUGGGCCUCUGGUCUGCGCAGUCUGCCCGGGGUCUGUGAGUGCUUGUGAGUGGGCUUCUCCAGUCUCCAGAUUCUCGUUGAAAUCCUAACGCCCCAGGCAAUGAUGUUAGGAGGCGGGGCUUCUGGGAGAUGGCAAGUUCGUGAGGCUGCAGCUCUGCUGGGGGAUCAGUGUCCUUCUACAAGCGGCUCCAGGGAGGUCCCUUGCCCCUUCCACCAUGUGAGGACCCGAGAUGGUGCCGUCUAUGAACCGGGAAGUGAGUCCUCUCCGGACGUGGAACAAGUUGGUGCCUUGAUUUUGAACUUGCAGCCUCCAGGUAUGAAUGUGAGCUCUGGGCUCACUGCCUGUGGGGAGCCCUGCCUCACAAGGAGGGGUCCCUCUGCAUCUGCCAUGCAUGGCUGUUUCAAUCAAAGCUGCUGUCUAACACCACCGGCUCGACCUUGAGUUCCUCCCUGAGCAAAGCCAAGCGACCUCCUGGACUGAGCCAGUUUUCGUGCCUGCCUGCCCUGGCUCAUUGGCCAGGGACCCCACCCCGCCAUGUCCAGGCCUUGGUGAUACAGGACAGAGGUGCCCGUGCAGGUUGUGCCUGUGGCUGGGUCCCCAGGGAGAAGGUGGCAACCCCAGGCCAGCAGCCUCCUACCCUGAACUCCAGGCAACAUCGUCGGCCCCCUGGCACUGCACCUGCACUGUGGGCAGAGAAGGAGGGAAGGCUGGGAGAGGAGGAGGAGGUCGAAUGUCGCUGGAGGUCGGCGUCCUUCUGCAGCCGUGGCUUCAUGGGGUUUAAGUACGAUGAUGCUGCAUUGAGACGUUGUACUGUGUGAAGUCAGGGCCUUCUGUGCAUCGGUCGAGGGUGCAAUGCACACGGCACCCCCGAGCAGCCACCCAUCCUCCCUUCCCUCCACCCUGCGAGGCCCCGUUGUCCGUCUGUCCACACUCUGCUCCAUGAGCACACGUGACUUAGCUUCGCCUUGUGAGCCGCUGCUUGGGGUGAGCAUGCUUCCUGCUGGAUGCUUCUCUAUGUAAGCACCUGCCUGAGUGUCAGCCCUCUUAAGGUGAACCGCUCCGUGUCAUUCGUACAUUCACAAGUUUGUGCCGCCAUCAUCGUGAUCGGAUUCCAAAACAUUUUCAUCACCUCCAAGAAAGCCUUGUACCUGGCAGCAGUCACUGUCUCUAUGGAUUUGCUUAUUCUGGACAUUUCAUAAAAAUAGAAUCAAACAGCAUUUGGC
RNAcentral lists this long non-coding RNA (1405 nucleotides) under Homo sapiens (human). RNAcentral's name for it is "HSALNT0402332". Lineage: Eukaryota; Metazoa; Chordata; Mammalia; Primates; Hominidae. The record is from RNAcentral.